RNAcentral lists this unclassified non-coding RNA (241 nucleotides) under uncultured fungus. RNAcentral's name for it is "sequence contains ITS1, 5.8S rRNA gene". The stretch from base 193 to 241 matches the Rfam family "5.8S ribosomal RNA", at positions 1 to 49 of the family's 154-position model. Lineage: Eukaryota; Fungi. The record is from RNAcentral.
UUUCCGUAGGUGAACCUGCGGAAGGAUCAUUACCGAGUACCGGAGCCCUCGGGUUCCUACUCCCACCCUAUGUUGACUUUAAACGUUGCUUUGGCGGACCGGGUUAAACCGCCGGCCUAGGCUGGAUAGCGUCCGCCAGAGGAUUUUUAAACUCUGUAAUUGUGAAUUCCGAGUACUUAAAAAUUGAAUCAAAACUUUCAACAACGGAUCUCUUGGUUCUGGCAUCGAUGAAGAACGCAGC